RNAcentral lists this ribosomal RNA (1379 nucleotides) under uncultured bacterium. Its description in RNAcentral is "bacterial SSU rRNA". It matches the Rfam family "Bacterial small subunit ribosomal RNA". The record is from RNAcentral.
AGAGUUUGAUCCUGGCUCAGGACGAACGCUGGCGGCGUGCUUAACACAUGCAAGUCGAGCGGAGACUUUACUGUAUUUAUAUGGUAAUUUCUUAGCGGCGGACGGGUGAGUAACACGUGGGUAACCUGCCUCGAAGUGAGGAAUAGCCUUCCGAAAGGGAGAUUAAUACCUCAUAAUAUUAAUUUUUCGCAUGAAAGAUUAAUUAAAGGAUUUAUUCGCUUCGAGAUGGACCCGCGGCGCAUUAGUUAGUUGGUGGGGUAAUGGCUCACCAAGACAAUGAUGCGUAGCCGACCUGAGAGGGUGAUCGGCCACAUUGGAACUGAGAUACGGUCCAAACUCCUACGGGAGGCAGCAGUGGGGAAUAUUGCACAAUGGGCGAAAGCCUGAUGCAGCAACGCCGCGUGAGUGAUGAAGGCUUUCGAGUCGUAAAGCUCUUUGAUCAGGGACGAUAAUGACGGUACCUGAAGAACAAGCCACGGCUAACUACGUGCCAGCAGCCGCGGUAAUACGUAGGUGGCGAGCGUUGUCCGGAAUUAUUGGGCGUAAAGGAUGCGUAGGUGGAUGUUUAAGUGGGAUGUGAAAUCCCUGGGCUCAACCCAGGAAUUGCAUUCCAAACUGGAUAUCUUGAGUAUAGUAGAGGAAAGCAGAAUUCCUAGUGUAGAGGUGAAAUUCGUAGAUAUUAGGAGGAAUACCAGUGGCGAAGGCGGCUUUCUGGACUAUAACUGACACUGAGGCAUGAAAGCGUGGGUAGCAAACAGGAUUAGAUACCCUGGUAGUCCACGCCGUAAACGAUGGGUACUAGGUGUAGGAGGUAUCGACCCCUUCUGUGCCGUCGUUAACACAAUAAGUACCCCGCCUGGGGAGUACGGUCGCAAGACUAGAACUCAAAGGAAUUGACGGGGGCCCGCACAAGCAGCGGAGCAUGUGGUUUAAUUCGAAGCAACGCGAAGAACCUUACCUAGACUUGACAUCUCCUGAAUUACCCGUAACUGGGGAAGCUCUUCGGAGCAGGAAGACAGGUGGUGCAUGGUUGUCGUCAGCUCGUGUCGUGAGAUGUUGGGUUAAGUCCCGUAACGAGCGCAACCCUUAUUUUUAGUUGCUACCAUUAAGUUGAGCACUCUAAAGAGACUGCCCGGGUUAACCGGGAGGAAGGUGGGGAUGACGUCAAAUCAUCAUGCCCCUUAUGUCUAGGGCAACACACGUGCUACAAUGGUGAGAACAAAGAGACGCAAAAUCGCGAGGUCAAGCAAAUCUCAUAAAACUCAUCCCAGUUCGGAUUGCAGGCUGAAACUCGCCUGCAUGAAGUCGGAGUUGCUAGUAAUCGCGAAUCAGAAUGUCGCGGUGAAUACGUUCCCGGGCCUUGUACUCACCGCCCGUCA